This 406-nucleotide ribosomal RNA is filed under the name uncultured bacterium. Its description in RNAcentral is "partial 16S ribosomal RNA". It matches the Rfam family "Bacterial small subunit ribosomal RNA", at positions 29 to 526 of the family's 1533-position model. The record is from RNAcentral.
AUUGAACGCUGGCGGCAGGCCUAACACAUGCAAGUCGAGCGAGUGGCGGACGGGUGAGUAAUGUCUGGGAAACUGCCUGAUGGGGGGGGAUAACUACUGGAAACGGUAGCUAAUACCGCAUACCAUCGGAUGUGCCCAGAUGGGAUUUGCUAGUUGGUGGGGUAAAGGCUCACCUAGGCGACGAUCCCUAGCUGGUCUGAGAGGAGGACCGGCCACACUGGAACUGAGACACGGUCCAGACUCCUACGGGAGGCAGCAGUGGGGAAUAUUGCACAAUGGGCGCAAGCCUGAUGCAGCCAUGCCGCGUGUAUGAAGAAGGCCUUCGGGUUGUAAAGUACUGUCAGCGGGGAGGCGGUACCCGCAGAGGAAGCACCGGCUAACUCCGUGCCAGCAGCCGCGGUAAUAC